UGAGAAGAAGAAGAAAAAAAGAAGAGAGAGCCUUGCAAGGUCGCUCAGAAGACAAAGGGAACGGAGAAAC
RNAcentral lists this small RNA (70 nucleotides) under Arabidopsis thaliana (thale cress). RNAcentral describes it as "ATSL142320". The record is from RNAcentral. Lineage: Eukaryota; Viridiplantae; Streptophyta; Magnoliopsida; Brassicales; Brassicaceae.